Molecule: ribosomal RNA, 444 nt
Filed under: Scarabaeus westwoodi
Lineage: Eukaryota; Metazoa; Arthropoda; Insecta; Coleoptera; Scarabaeidae
Description: partial 16S ribosomal RNA
Source: RNAcentral
CGCAAACUUUUUUUUCGAUAUGAACUCUAAAAAAAAAUAACGCUGUUAUCCCUAAGGUAAUUUAAUCUUAUAAUCAUAAUAAUAUGGCUCACUUACUCAUAAAUCAAUGUUUUUAUAUAAAAAAAGUUACUUUAAUUUUUUAGUUGCCCCAACUAAAUAUGUAUACAUAUAUUUAAAUCUAAAAUACUAAAACUUUUAAAUAUAUAUAUAAAUAUAAAAUUCUAUAGGGUCUUCUCGUCUUUUAAAAUCAUUUAAGCUUUUUUACUUAAAAAUAAAAUUCUAAUUUAAAUUAAAUUGAGACAGUCUCUCCCUCGUCAAACCUUUCAUACCAGUUCUCAAUUAAAAAACUAAUUAUUAUGCUACCUUUGCACGGUCAAAAUACCGCGGCCAUUUAAAAUAUAUUCAUAGGGCAGGCCAGACUUUAAAUUAUAAUCAAAAAGACAU